Molecule: ribosomal RNA, 508 nt
Filed under: uncultured bacterium
Lineage: Bacteria
Description: partial 16S ribosomal RNA
Rfam family: Bacterial small subunit ribosomal RNA
Source: RNAcentral
GACGAACGCUGGCGGCGUGCCUAAUACAUGCAAGUCGAACGCUUCUUUCCUCCCGAGUGCUUGCACUCAAUUGGAAAGAGGAGUGGCGGACGGGUGAGUAACACGGGGGUAACCUACCCAUCAGAGGGGGAUAACACUUGGAAACAGGUGCUAAUACCGCAUAACAGUUUAUGCCGCAUGGCAUAAGAGUGAAAGGCGCUUUCGGGUGUCGCUGAUGGAUGGACCCGCGGUGCAUUAGCUAGUUGGUGAGGUAACGGCUCACCAAGGCCACGAUGCAUAGCCGACCUGAGAGGGUGAUCGGCCACACUGGGACUGAGACACGGCCCAGACUCCUACGGGAGGCAGCAGUAGGGAAUCUUCGGCAAUGGACGAAAGUCUGACCGAGCAACGCCGCGUGAGUGAAGAAGGUUUUCGGAUCGUAAAACUCUGUUGUUAGAGAAGAACAAGGACGUUAGUAACUGAACGUCCCCUGACGGUAUCUAACCAGAAAGACACGGCUAACUACGUG